Long non-coding RNA from Oxyura jamaicensis (ruddy duck), 587 nucleotides. RefSeq lists it as uncharacterized. The transcript is spliced from 4 exons. NCBI's taxonomy places the organism in Eukaryota, Metazoa, Chordata, Aves, Anseriformes, Anatidae. The record is from RefSeq and is a predicted model, not a curated record.
CCCAGUACCAACAGUCAGACACCGUUUGCUGCAUGGCUGUGGCAGGGAUUUGGCUGAACUGCGCUGGGCCUCUGAACCAGGGGGUGCUUGCAGGGAACCAGCUCUGAACUGGGGGCUACCUCAUCAGGACUGGAAAUCAUAAUGAAGUAGCCUGGUCCUCGCGGCUGUGCUUCCAGGAUGGCAGCUAAUUAUUUCAGAAAUGAUGUGGCCACAGAAAAUUUCUCCUUCAUUUUGAGUGCAGCUCAAUGCAUUUAAUAAAGACCUUCUUCAAGUCAAUGAAGUCUGUGAAGUCACGAUUUAACCACUCAGAUUGGUUUCAUAUCAGUACAAGUGAACUGCCUGACAUAUCACACUCCUUUAUAUCAGCUGUCGGCUUCAUAUCUGAACUUGGAGCUCUCUCAAAGUCUGGGGUCAGCACAUGCUCGCGCUCCCCAAGCCCCUCCAGCAGCCAUGGCAGCAGGGACCCUGACACGACACGCCAAGAGCUCCCGCAGCAUCUCCCCCCACCUCUGCCAUUGUGUCAGCAGGUACAAAUAUGUUCCCUGGCAGAAAGACACAUAAAUCCCAACUGUCAAGAAACAAAGCAC